Long non-coding RNA from Armigeres subalbatus, 961 nucleotides. RefSeq lists it as uncharacterized. The transcript has 3 exons. The record is from RefSeq and is a predicted model, not a curated record. Lineage: Eukaryota; Metazoa; Arthropoda; Insecta; Diptera; Culicidae.
CUUACCCCUCUUGACGUUUUGACAGUUUGUCUGUUUGUUUUUCUCCCUCACCUUGCGACGUCGUUUCGGUUUUGCAUCGUGCAUCACGGAGAAAAUCGAAAAAGAUAAUAAUAAUAUAACGUUAAUGAGGCUUUCUGUUUGACGCGAGAUUUGACGGCAACCGGAGAAGGCAAUCCGCUGAAGCAGGCCACGAACAUUGGGAGUCAUUUUUUUUCUGCUCGGCUACGCAGUGUGCAAAUUGAACAACAACAAUGGUUCGGAACAAUGCAACCAGCGAAAAACAUUUCGCCAGGAAUCUCUACUUCAAUUCGAAUCGAUUAGACGAUUGCCCUCGAGGAGGAAGAAAAUCAGCGUCCAAGGAAAUUAAAGGCCAGUCUGAUAGUAGUCGCAGCUCUACAAAGUGGAAGCAGUAUUUCCCUGAUGGUGUAUGGCGGUUGAAUGCGGGGACAGUUCUGAGGAGGUGCUAAAAUCGAUUCAUCACUGCUGCAUGCUUUUUUACGCUUAUUGCCGAAUUAUGCAUCACAAAGAGUGGAUAGUGAAUGAUCGUUAACAUCCUUGGGUGGAAGACCGUUUUGCGGCCGUGGAGGAUUCCGCGGACGUGGUGGUUUCCGUGGCGGUUUACAUCGUGAUGGCCCACCGCACCACGGGGACAAUGAUGAAUUGCGUCGAUCAGGAGCCGAUGGCGAAUAUGAUUACGUCGUCGUUCUGGAUCACGUGAACCAGGAAUCGAUAGAUCUCGCUCCCGUUCACCGAGGCGACGCAGUCCGGCUGAUUCUGAUUCGUCUUCUUGUGGGAAUGGCAUGUUAUCGAAUGCAAGAACGUUACCAGAAGAAGAUGUGCAGAAGCGCAUAUCGACGUCAUCGUCGCACGCAAUCUUCCUCGGCCUGCCGGGAUCGACGUUAUCGGUGGCAUCGUCGGAUGAUGCCAGUGUUCAGACGCGUCCACUGCGUAAUCUCGUGUC